CCUAGAGUUGUAGGCUUUGCCUGCUAUCUCUUACCCAUGUCUUUUGAGUACUUACGUUUCCUCGGCGGGUCCGCCCGCCGAUUGGACAAUUUAAACCAUUCGCAGUUGCAAUCAGCGUCUGAAAAACUUUAAUAGUUA
Molecule: unclassified non-coding RNA, 138 nt
Filed under: soil metagenome
Description: partial internal transcribed spacer 1
Source: RNAcentral